RNAcentral lists this ribosomal RNA (253 nucleotides) under uncultured bacterium. RNAcentral's name for it is "partial 16S ribosomal RNA". It matches the Rfam family "Bacterial small subunit ribosomal RNA", at positions 52 to 334 of the family's 1533-position model. The record is from RNAcentral.
CACAUGCAAGUCGAGCGAGACCUUCGGGUCUGGCGGCGGACGGGUUAGUAACGCGUGGGAACGUGCCCUUCACUACGGAAUAGUCCUGGGAAACUGGGUUUAAUACCGUAUACGCCCUUCGGGGGAAAGAAUUUCGGUGAAGGAUCGGCCCGCGUCUGAUUAGGUAGUUGGUGGGGUAAUGGCCUACCAAGCCUACGAUCAGUAGCUGGUUUUAGAGGAUGAUCAGCAACACUGGGACUGAGACACGGCCCAG